CUUGAUGUUUUCCCCCAUUAGAAUGUAUUUAUGUGAUUAUUCAAGGCAAAGGAGUUGUUGAAUAUGGCUAUUCAUGUGGCGCAUCCAUCACUGCGAAUGAAAGGCGCUGAGGCAGACUGGACGCCCAUACAAUGCACAGACAGGGAGUGUAGCCACUCCUUGAUGAAGGCUCCGCAUCUGCACUGUCCAUUCUGCUCCAAGGACAGUCUCUUCACUGAUGAGAUUCUCCUCAAGGCGCACUACAGGGUCAAGCACGUGAAUAAAGGCAUCAACUUUGGGGGUCUUAAAAUAUUGCGGUGUUGCAGAUCCUGCAUCGUCCACGGCAUCAUUCACGGCCUACGUCCCCUGCUUGCAUGAAGAAGCAACGACCAACGAAGACAGGGAUAAAGCAGCCAAUGAUCUUUUCGGUAGGCUCUAUGAGAAAUGAAGGCAGAGAUGGACAGAGACUGUGGAAUCGAUGGAUUUGACCCAUUCCAUCUGUCGGGCAUGGCAAACCAUCAACAAGCUCACGGGAUGUCAACCAGAUCUUCACCACAUACACCGACCCAGCACCCAACAGUGCCAGCCUGGUAACACACCUCAUAGUCCCCCAGUCACAGCAGCCAUCGGAGACGAACACAUCAUCCCCGAGCUAUGAGCAGACUGACGGGCAGCAGCCGCAGAUCGAGUACCAGUACGCCUGCAUCAAUGAUCCGAGCCAGAGCACUGCCAAUG
This is an RNA transcript of Patiria miniata (bat star), 714 nucleotides long. RefSeq lists it as uncharacterized. Lineage: Eukaryota; Metazoa; Echinodermata; Asteroidea; Valvatida; Asterinidae. The transcript has 4 exons. The record is from RefSeq and is a predicted model, not a curated record.